RNAcentral lists this long non-coding RNA (588 nucleotides) under Setaria italica (foxtail millet). Its description in RNAcentral is "long non-coding RNA (SITA_LNC005498)". Lineage: Eukaryota; Viridiplantae; Streptophyta; Magnoliopsida; Poales; Poaceae. The record is from RNAcentral.
CGGGAUUAAAGGGUCCCCACAGGUGGUUGAUUUUUUUCACCCGGGACUAAAGGGUCUCUCACAGGUGGCUGAUUUUUGAUCCGGACUAAAGAGGAGCCCUUAGUCCCGAUUGUUAUUUGAUUCGGAACUAAAGCUCUUUUAGUUAUAGGCCAACUUUAAAUCGGGACAAAAGGGAAUGCAUGAAAAGUGGGUUCUUUGCGCUACGUGUGCUAGCUAGGCUUGUACCAGAAUAAUUAUCUGUACGUGUAUCCUGUCAUGAGUGCGCUUGGUUAGCUCAUGUGUGAUGCGAGUACUUUGUGUCAUAAAUAAUUGACAACAAUUGUAUCUUGUACAUGCAUGGAUCGGAGUGCAUAUGAGGGUUUAUGCAUGGAAGACAUAUAUGUACAAUAGCGGAUUUGCUUUGCUUUGGCAGCCUUGUUUGAUCGACUGAGAGUAGUGAAAAUUUUGCUGAGAUGUGUCCCGAUGGGAUGUCCCAGUAUAAUUCUGUUUAUUUUACAUGCUAGAUACCAUUUUCCAUGCACUCGAUGCGUGUAUAUGCUCCAACAGCAUUGGGCAGCAGCUUGGCUGCAAACUAGUUCCAGAAGGCUG